CUCCUAGUACUAAAACAUAAUCCAUAUUCCCAUUGCAGGUUUACUUCGACCAAACCAAUUAAAUCUCAACCUGGUCAAGCAUGCGUUUAAUUAAAUAAAAUGAAAAAUUGAAGAAUCAAUUGCCUUGUUCUACACUGCUACUCUGAAUCGAAGAACAAGGACCAACAAACCGUGGUGAUCAUAUCAGGUUCAGUAGUUUUUGGGGUUCUUCUGUUGGUAUAUAUCAAUCAGCUGGUUGUUGAUUUGGAAAAGUACCUUCCACAGAAGCAACGGUAAGUACAUGAACACUUCUUUUAUUCUCUAUGUCCUCUAAUUGUAAAAAUUUUAAAAAGUUAAAACUUGUCAUUGUGUCCAAACAUGAAAUUUAAACUGUCAAUUAAUAUAGUCCAAACCUGAAAUUUAAACUGUUUUUGCUACCUUUUUAUUAUAAAUAAAAUGAAUACUAGACCACUAGUCUCUAGUUGAAAGGUAGGGCACAUACAGUUUCAUUUCAUUAAUGUAUUGCUAAACUUGAUUGAAUUGGAAGUUUUGACUAGAUUUUUUUCUGCUCUCUAAGUUUUAACUCUGAUAUAUUGACUAAUUAUGUUACUAUACUACUCUUGUUAAAUUAUUAACAAAUAGUUGAACUACAGCUAGUCUUUCUCUCAUGUUACUAAGUCUUUCAAGUGUUCCAAGCUUAGGGAUUUUUGCAAGCCCAAUUUCAACCCAAUUUCUGGUGUUCUCAUUGUCACAGGUAUAUAUAUAUGUAGCUACGGGCAUUGGACUAAUUGAUCAAGUACCAUGAUGCUUGCUAACAAUUUUUUGUGACGUAAAAAAUCCUUGACGGAUAUGCAUUUUGUGAUGUAAAAAUCUUUUGUUGGGAACUUGUUUUGUUUAUGUAAUUAUUUGGGCAAUGAACUUGUUUUGUUAUUUGGCAAUUGG
Long non-coding RNA from Quercus robur (English oak), 921 nucleotides. RefSeq lists it as uncharacterized. NCBI's taxonomy places the organism in Eukaryota, Viridiplantae, Streptophyta, Magnoliopsida, Fagales, Fagaceae. The transcript has 2 exons. The record is from RefSeq and is a predicted model, not a curated record.